AUUGAACGCUGGCGGCAUGCCUUACACAUGCAAGUCGAACGGCAGCACGGGAGCAAUCCUGGUGGCGAGUGGCGAACGGGUGAGUAAUAUAUCGGAACGUGCCCGGUCGUGGGGAUAACGUAGCGAAAGCUACGCUAAUACCGCAUACGAUCUACGGAUGAAAGCGGGGGGAUCGCAAGACCUCGCGCGAUUGGAGCGGCCGAUAUCAGAUUAGGUAGUUGGUGAGGUAAAGGCUCACCAAGCCGACGAUCUGUAGCUGGUCUGAGAGGACGACCAGCCACACUGGGACUGAGACACGGCCCAGACUCCUACGGGAGGCAGCAGUGGGGAAUUUUGGACAAUGGGCGCAAGCCGUGAGUCCAGCCAAUGCCGCGUGCA
RNAcentral lists this ribosomal RNA (378 nucleotides) under uncultured bacterium. Its description in RNAcentral is "bacterial SSU rRNA". It matches the Rfam family "Bacterial small subunit ribosomal RNA", at positions 29 to 405 of the family's 1533-position model. The record is from RNAcentral.